GAUGAACGCUGGCGGCGUGCCUAAUACAUGCCAGUCGAGCGAACGGACGAGAAGCUUGCUUCUCUGAUGUUAGCGGCGGACGGGUGAGUAACACGUGGAUAACCUACCUAUAAGACUGGGAUAACUUCGGGAAACCGGAGCUAAUACCGGAUAAUAUUUUGAACCGCAUGGUUCAAAAGUGAAAGACGGUCUUGCUGUCACUUAUAGAUGGAUCCGCGCUGCAUUAGCUAGUUGGUAAGGUAACGGCUUACCAAGGCAACGAUGCAUAGCCGACCUGAGAGGGUGAUCGGCCACACUGGAACUGAGCCCCGGUCCAGACUCCUACGGGAGGCAGCAGUAGGGAAUCUUCCGCAAUGGGCGAAAGCCUGACGGAGCAACGCCGCGUGAGUGAUGAAGGUCUUCGGAUCGUAAAACUCUGUUAUUAGGGAAGAACAUAUGUGUAAGUAACUGUGCACAUCUUGACGGUACCUAAGCAGAAAGCCACGGCUAACUACGU
RNAcentral lists this ribosomal RNA (496 nucleotides) under uncultured bacterium. Its description in RNAcentral is "partial 16S ribosomal RNA". It matches the Rfam family "Bacterial small subunit ribosomal RNA", at positions 28 to 506 of the family's 1533-position model. The record is from RNAcentral.